This 448-nucleotide ribosomal RNA is filed under the name uncultured bacterium. Its description in RNAcentral is "bacterial SSU rRNA". It matches the Rfam family "Bacterial small subunit ribosomal RNA", at positions 329 to 794 of the family's 1533-position model. The record is from RNAcentral.
UGCCAGACUCCUACGGGAGGCAGCAGUGGGGAAUAUUGCACAAUGGGGGAAACCCUGAUGCAGCGACGCCGCGUGAGCGAUGAAGUAUUUCGGUAUGUAAAGCUCUAUCAGCAGGGAAGAAGAUGACGGUACCUGACUAAGAAGCCCCGGCUAACUACGUGCCAGCAGCCGCGGUAAUACGUAGGGGGCAAGCGUUAUCCGGAUUUACUGGGUGUAAAGGGAGCGUAGACGGCGAUGCAAGCCAGAUGUGAAAGCCCGGGGCUCAACCCCGGGACUGCAUUUGGAACUGUGUGGCUGGAGUGUCGGAGAGGCAGGCGGAAUUCCUAGUGUAGCGGUGAAAUGCGUAGAUAUUAGGAGGAACACCAGUGGCGAAGGCGGCCUGCUGGACGAUGACUGACGUUGAGGCUCGAAAGCGUGGGGAGCAAACAGGAUUAGAUACCCCAGUAAA